GCGGCCGCGGGAAUUCGAUUAGAGUUUGAUCAUGGCUCAGGACGAACGCUGGCGGCGCGCUUAACACAUGCAAGUCGAGCGAGAACCAGGACUUCGGUCCUGGGGACAGCGGCGAACGGGUGAGUAACACGUGAGCAAUCUGCCCAUCACAUCGGGAUAACUCCGGGAAACCGGAGCUAAUACCGGAUACGACCACUUCAGGCAUCUGACGGUGGUGGAAAGUUCCGGCGGUGAUGGAUGAGCUCGCGGCCUAUCAGCUUGUUGGUGGGGUAAUGGCCUACCAAGGCUUCGACGGGUAGCCGGCCUGAGAGGGUGACCGGCCACACUGGGACUGAGACACGGCCCAGACUCCUACGGGAGGCAGCAGUGGGGAAUAUUGGGCAAUGGGCGAAAGCCUGAUCCAGCAACGCCGCGUGAGGGAUGACGGCCUUCGGGUUGUAAACCUCUUUCAGCAGGGACGAAGCGCAAGUGACGGUACCUGCAGAAGAAGCACCGGCCAACUACGUGCCAGCAGCCGCGGUAAUACGAAUCACUAGUGAAUUCGCGGCCGCCUGCAGGUCGACCAUAUGGGAGAGCUCCCAAC
RNAcentral lists this ribosomal RNA (583 nucleotides) under uncultured Actinomycetes bacterium. RNAcentral's name for it is "uncultured actinobacterium partial 16S ribosomal RNA". It matches the Rfam family "Bacterial small subunit ribosomal RNA", at positions 1 to 600 of the family's 1533-position model. Lineage: Bacteria; Bacillati; Actinomycetota; Actinomycetes. The record is from RNAcentral.